AUCAAAAACAUAGCUAAAUGACAUCUAUAUUUAGUGCCGUCUGCUCAAUGAUUUAAUUAAAUAGCCGCAGUACCUUGACUGUGCUAAGGUAGCAUAAUCAUUUGGCUUAUAAUUGAAGUCUGGCAUGAAAGAAUUAAUGGGAAACGACUGUCUCCUUUAAGCGUGUAAAAAUUAUUAAGUAAGUGAAAAUACUUAUAAUAGCAUAAUAGACGAGAAGACCCUAGAAAUUUUUUGCAAACAGCUAUUUUAGCUAUAACAUUUUGUUGGGGCGACAGAAUAACAGUAAACUUAUUUUAGAUGUAAGAAUUAUAUUGUAAGAAAAAAUAAAUUACUCUAGGGAUAACAGCAUAAUGUAUAAAAGUUUGUGACCUCGAUGUUGGACUAGGAUUCUUAUUAACCAGAAGUUUUUAAGGUUGGCUCUGUUCGAGCUUCGUUUCCUACAUGAUCUGAGU
Molecule: ribosomal RNA, 452 nt
Filed under: Cernuella sp. AT10
Lineage: Eukaryota; Metazoa; Mollusca; Gastropoda; Stylommatophora; Geomitridae
Description: partial 16S ribosomal RNA
Rfam family: Bacterial large subunit ribosomal RNA
Source: RNAcentral